GUGUUCACUUUGGCCACACGGACGUUAAAACUGGGAUGAUGCAGAGAAGACUCGCCUGGUCCCUGCACAAAUUCAUGAAGUAUUCCAUAUUUUU
RNAcentral lists this small nuclear RNA (94 nucleotides) under Canis lupus familiaris (dog). The record is from RNAcentral. Lineage: Eukaryota; Metazoa; Chordata; Mammalia; Carnivora; Canidae. RNAcentral also lists the same sequence under 2 other names.